Molecule: long non-coding RNA, 436 nt
Organism: Lytechinus pictus (painted urchin)
Lineage: Eukaryota; Metazoa; Echinodermata; Echinoidea; Temnopleuroida; Toxopneustidae
Exons: 3
Source: RefSeq, a predicted model, not a curated record
AGAUCGGCUUAAAUUCAACGGGCUGUGAACUUGUCUGCUACGCUAACGGGCUCGCAAGUGAUAUACCAGGAGUUUUGCGGGCCCUGGAUCGUAAAUAUAUUUGUUUACAUCAAUUAAGACCGUCCAGUAUCUCAACACAAUACAGCAUGUCCAGGGCGCCAAUAUCGACGAUUUCAACCUGCACUGAGAAAGGAGAGAAUUUUUAUUGGGAGACGAAAGGCGAGUGAGAGUUGAAAUGGCCACGACGCAUCCUGUGCUGAACUUCGCCCGUUUGCACCCCAUGGCGCCGGCGAGCAUCCCACAAGCCGAUCCUGGGUACGACAUCGAAUCGUGGAGCGAGAAAAAUGCAAGAGAUCUUGGACUGGAGGAAAAGAAAUCUGCAUUGAAGACCCUGUUUUAUUGGUAAAGUUAGGUAUCUUAAAAACUGGAAAGGAAA